This is an RNA transcript of Panicum virgatum (switchgrass), 2597 nucleotides long. It is a transcript of the gene named cellulose synthase-like protein E6, with no coding region annotated. The record is from RefSeq and is a predicted model, not a curated record. NCBI's taxonomy places the organism in Eukaryota, Viridiplantae, Streptophyta, Magnoliopsida, Poales, Poaceae. The transcript is spliced from 8 exons.
GGAUCAGAGGGAGAGAGAGAGAGAGAGAGAGAGAGAGAGAGAGAGAGAGAGAGAGAGAGAGAGAGAGAGAGAGAGAGAGAGAGAGAGAUGGGUGGGAGGCUGUUCGCCACGGAGAAGGCCGGCGGCAGGGCGCUGUACAAGCUCCACGCCGUCACGGUGCUCGCGGGGAUAUGCCUGGUGCUCUGGUACAGGGCGACGCACGUCCCGGCGGCCGGCGCGGGGAGGGCGGCGUGGGUGGGGAUGCUGGCGGCGGAGCUGUGGUUCGGCUUCUACUGGGUCAUCACGCAGUCCGUGCGCUGGUGCCCCAUCCGCCGCCGCACCUUCAAGGACAGGCUCGCCGCCAGGUACGGAGACCGGCUACCCUCCGUAGACAUCUUCGUCUGCACCGCAGAUCCGCACUCGGAGCCGCCGAGCCUCGUCAUGGCCACGGUCCUCUCGCUCAUGGCGUACAAUUACCCACCUGAGAAACUGAACGUGUACCUCUCCGACGACGGGGGCUCGAUCCUCACUUUCUAUGCCUUGUGGGAGACCUCCGCCUUCGCGAAGCACUGGCUUCCAUUCUGCAGGAGAUACAACAUUGAGCCAAGGUCACCUGCGGCGUACUUUGCAGGGUCAGAUAAGCCUGAUGAUCCGCGAACCUUAGAGGAAUGGUCAUUCGUCAAGGACCUGUACGAAGGAAUGACGGAGCGGAUCGAUUCUGCUGUUAGGUCAGCCAAAGUUCCUGAAGAAAUGAAAGUAAAUCAUAAAGGAUUUUCUGAAUGGAAUACAGGGGGCACCUCGAAAGAUCACCAGCCAGUUGUUCAGAUUCUGAUAGAUGGGAAAGACAAAGGUGCACUUGACAGUGAAGGAAAUGUGCUACCAACACUGGUAUACAUGGCACGUGAGAAGAGGCCUCAGUACCACCAUAACUUCAAAGCUGGGGCAAUGAAUGCUCUGAUAAGGGUAUCAUCGGUGAUAAGCAAAAGUCCUAUCAUCAUGAAUGUGGACUGUGAUAUGUAUUCAAACAACUCUGAUUCAAUCACAGAAGCACUGUGCUUUUUCCUGGAUGAAGAAAUGGGUCACAAGAUUGCAUUUGUGCAGUACCCUCAGAACUAUAACAAUAUGACCAAGAAUAACAUAUAUGGCAACUCCUUGAAUGCCAUCAAUCAGGUGGAGUUGGCUGGUCUGGACACUUGGGGUGGGCCAUUGUAUAUUGGUACAGGAUGCUUCCACAGAAGGGAGACCCUAUGCGGCAGGAGCUUCAACAAAGACUACAAGGAAGACUGGGACCAAGGAAUUAAGACACAGCAACCGAUAGACCAGACUGAAGAGAAAGCGAAGUCAUUAGCAACCUGCACCUAUGAAAAUAACACACAGUGGGGAAGUGAGAUUGGAUUGAAAUAUGGUUGCCCAGUGGAAGAUGUUAUCACCGGACUGGCAAUACAUUGUAGAGGAUGGAAGUCAGUCUACAACAACCCCCCAAGAGCAGCAUUUGUUGGUGUAGCCCCAACAACAAUUUCUCAGACAAUACUUCAGCAGAAGCGAUGGAGCGAGGGUAAUCUUUCAAUUUUUCUUUCAAAGUACUGCCCGUUCGUCUUUGGACAUGGAAAAAUAAGGUUACCGCAUCAAAUGGGCUACUGCAUAUAUGGUUUAUGGGCACCCAACUCGCUACCUACGCUAUAUUACGUUCUGAUCCCUUCACUAGGCCUUCUCAAGGGCACACCCUUGUUCCCUGAGAUUAUGAGUCCAUGGAUCACGCCUUUCAUAUAUGUCUCCGUUGUGAAGAAUAUUUACAGCCUAUAUGAGGCAUUAACAUCUGGAGAUACAUUGAGAGGAUGGUGGAAUGGACAGAGGAUGUGGCUAGUUAAAAGAAUAACCUCGUACCUUUAUGCUGUCAUUGACAACAUCAGGAAGUUGUUAGGAUUGUCAAAGAUGGGGUUUGUAGUUUCACCAAAGGUAGGUAAUGAAGAUGAGUCGAAAAGGUACGAGCAAGAAAUCAUGGAAUUUGGAACGUCUUCACCAGAAUAUGUGAUCAUUGCAACCAUUGCAUUACUCAACCUCGUGUGCCUAGUGGGAGGGCUAGGUCAAAUCUUGACAAGUGGCCAGAAUAUGUUGUGGAAUGGACUUCUCCUCCAGGUUGUUCUAUGCGGGUUGCUUGUGACCAUUAAUAUCCCAAUCUAUGAAGCAAUGUUCCUCCGAAAGGACAAAGGGAGAAUACCAUUCUCAGUCACACUAGCUUCUGUUGGCUUUGUCAUGAUGGCCCUCUUUGUACCAAUAUUCUGAGGUCCCAAAAAAGGCACUGAUGAAUGCAAAAAAUACUUACUAGUUCUAAUCAUAAAUUAUCUACCUUGAUAUCUCUUGUAUGAUGUUACAAAAAAUACGCAAUGCAAAAUGGAUACUUGUAUUCUAGCACUGCUUUCAGCUGCAUUGCGUAAAAGGGUAAGCUCUCAUCCAAUUGAGCUGUCAGCUGUGCAGAGGAUGCAUAUGCAUGGAUCAACGCUGGAAUCCCCACAAUGUGGUAUCAUCUGUCAUUCGCUAUAAAUGUGCCUAUGGCAUAUAUGGCACGCCUGUCUAUCUAACUAUCGAAGUAACUCAGAGAUCAAUUUGAGAAAUGGAGA